GUCCACGCCGUAAACGAUGGAUACUAGCUGUUGGAAGCAAUUUCAGUGGCUAAGCGAAAGUGAUAAGUAUCCCACCUGGGGAGUACGUUCGCAAGAAUGAAACUCAAAGGAAUUGACGGGGGCCCGCACAAGCGGUGGAGCAUGUGGUUUAAUUCGAUGAUACGCGAGGAACCUUACCAAGGCUUAAAUGUAGAUUGACCGGUUUUGGAAACAGACUUUUCGCAAGACAAUUUACAAGGUGCUGCAUGGUUGUCGU
This 256-nucleotide ribosomal RNA is filed under the name uncultured bacterium. RNAcentral describes it as "partial 16S ribosomal RNA". It matches the Rfam family "Bacterial small subunit ribosomal RNA", at positions 793 to 1055 of the family's 1533-position model. The record is from RNAcentral.